This 64-nucleotide transfer RNA is filed under the name Phrynocephalus mystaceus (secret toadhead agama). RNAcentral describes it as "tRNA-Gly". Lineage: Eukaryota; Metazoa; Chordata; Lepidosauria; Squamata; Agamidae. The record is from RNAcentral.
AUCACUUUAGUAUAAUCAAUACAAACGACUUCCACUCGUUUAAUCUUACAAAUAAGAAGUGAUA